GAUGAACGCUGGCGGCGUGCCUAAUACAUGCAAGUCGAGCGAACGGACGAGAAGCUUGCUUUUCUGAUGUUAGCGGCGGACGGAUGAGUAACACGUGGAUAACCUACCUAUAAGGCUGGGAUAACUUCGGGAAACCGGAGCUAAUACCGGAUAAUAUUUUGAACCGCAUGGUUCAAAAGUGAAAGACGGUCUUGCUGUCACUUAUAGAUGGAUCCGCGCUGCAUUAGCUAGUUGGUAAGGUAACGGCUUACCAAGGCAACGAUGCAUAGCCGACCUGAGAGGGUGAUCGGCCACACUGGAACUGAGACACGGUCCAGACUCCUACGGGAGGCAGCAGUAGGGAAUCUUCCGCAAUGGGCGAAAGCCUGACGGAGCAACGCCGCGUGAGUGAUGAAGGUCUUCGGAUCGUAAAACUCUGUUAUUAGGGAAGAACAUAUGUGUAAGUAACUGUGCACAUCUUGACGGUACCUAAUCAGAAAGCCACGGCUAACUACGUG
RNAcentral lists this ribosomal RNA (497 nucleotides) under uncultured bacterium. RNAcentral describes it as "partial 16S ribosomal RNA". It matches the Rfam family "Bacterial small subunit ribosomal RNA", at positions 28 to 507 of the family's 1533-position model. The record is from RNAcentral.